UACAGAGGUCUCAAGCGUUGUUCGGAAUCACUGGGCGUAAAGGGUGUGUAGGCUGCGUGUUAAGUCAGAUGUGAAAUCCCGGGGCUCAACCUCGGAACUGCAUCCGAUACUGGCAUGCUAGAGAAUUGGAGAGGAGUCUAGAAUUCACGGUGUAGCAGUGAAAUGCGUAGAUAUCGUGAGGAAUACCAAGUGCGAAGGCAGGACUCUGGACAUUUUCUGACGCUGAGACACGAAGGCUAGGGGAGCAAACGGG
RNAcentral lists this ribosomal RNA (253 nucleotides) under uncultured bacterium. Its description in RNAcentral is "partial 16S ribosomal RNA". It matches the Rfam family "Bacterial small subunit ribosomal RNA", at positions 524 to 776 of the family's 1533-position model. The record is from RNAcentral.